UAGGGAAUAUUGCACAAUGGAGGAAACUCUGAUGCAGCGACGCCGCGUGAGUGAUGAAGGCCUUCGGGUCGUAAAGCUCUGUCGUAUGGGAAUAAGAAAGUGAAUGUACCAUGCAAGAAAGGAUCGGCUAACUUCGUGCCAGCAGCCGCGGUAAGACGAGGGAUCCUAGCGUUGUUCGGAAUCAUUGGGCGUAAAGCGGGCGUAGGUGGCUUUAUAAGUCAGGUGUGAAAUCCCCGGGCUCAACCCGGGACGUGCACUUGAUACUGUUUAGCUUGAGUGUGGAAGAGGUGAGUGGAAUUCCAGGUGUAGUGGUGAAAUACGUAGAUAUCUGGAGGAACACCGGUGGCGAAAGCGGCUCACUGGUCCAACACUGACACUGAAGCCCGAAAGCGUGGGGAUCAAACAG
This 406-nucleotide ribosomal RNA is filed under the name uncultured bacterium. RNAcentral's name for it is "bacterial SSU rRNA". It matches the Rfam family "Bacterial small subunit ribosomal RNA", at positions 355 to 775 of the family's 1533-position model. The record is from RNAcentral.